RNAcentral lists this ribosomal RNA (422 nucleotides) under uncultured bacterium. Its description in RNAcentral is "bacterial SSU rRNA". It matches the Rfam family "Bacterial small subunit ribosomal RNA", at positions 29 to 494 of the family's 1533-position model. The record is from RNAcentral.
AGCGAACGCUGGCGGCAGGCUUAACACAUGCAAGUCGAGCGGGCACCUUCGGGUGUCAGCGGCAGACGGGUGAGUAACACGUGGGAACGUACCCUUUGGUUCGGAACAACUCUGGGAAACUGGAGCUAAUACCGGAUACGCCCUUAUGGGGAAAGGUUUACCGCCGAAGGAUCGGCCCGCGUCUGAUUAGCUAGUUGGUGAGGUAACGGCUCACCAAGGCGACGAUCAGUAGCUGGUCUGAGAGGAUGAUCAGCCACACUGGGACUGAGACACGGCCCAGACUCCUACGGGAGGCAGCAGUGGGGAAUAUUGGACAAUGGGCGCAAGCCUGAUCCAGCCAUGCCGCGUGAGUGAUGAAGGCCUUAGGGUUGUAAAGCUCUUUUGUCCGGGACGAUAAUGACGGUACCGGAAGAAUAAGCCCC